Molecule: unclassified non-coding RNA, 343 nt
Filed under: soil metagenome
Description: partial contains 5.8S ribosomal RNA, internal transcribed spacer 2, and large subunit ribosomal RNA
Rfam family: 5.8S ribosomal RNA (bases 1-120)
Source: RNAcentral
GAUGAAGAACGGAGCGAAAUGCGAUAAGUAAUGUGAAUUGCAGAAUCCAGUGAAUCAUCGAAUCUUUGAACGCACAUUGCGCCCGCCAGCAUUCUGGCGGGCAUGCCUGUUCGAGCGUCAUUUCAACCCUCGACCUCCCCUUGGGGAGGUCGGCGUUGGGGACCGGCAGCACACCGCCGGCCCUGAAAUGGAGUGGCGGCCCGUCUGCGGCGACCUCUGCGUAGUAAUACAGCUCGCACCGGAACCCCGACGCGGCCACGCCGUAAAACACCCAACUUCUGAACGUUGACCUCGAAUCAGGUAGGACUACCCGCUGAACUUAAGCAUAUCAAUAAGCGGAGGA